AACGUGCUGUCCGGUGCACGUGUGGAGGUGUUAGUGGGGCCGUUCUAACUGCUGUUUAUUUGCUCUGCCAGCCCACUUCCAGGACCCCUGGAGAGACAUCAGCCGUGGACCAAACAGAGGAAGCUUUGACUGGAGAAAAGGAGCAGGAGGUCUGAAGGACUUCCAGCAGCAAAACAAGAUGAAAAAUCUCUCAGAAGAAACGGGUUGGAGGGGCGGACGGGGUUCUACAUGGCCGUCAACAAGUCCCAACUUGUUGGAUUAUAUUCUCAGCCAUCUACUUUCCAGGCUGAUUCGUCUUCUUGACACUUCCUACAGAGUGGGAGCCAAAAAGAAGGUAAUGCGGAUGGAAGUAAGUCCUCUACCAUGGAAUCGGAGCCAAAGUACAACACAACGUAUUGCUCAACCUUUCCAGCUUGAACAUUCUUACAGGAAAAUAAGAAAUAGCAGUAAACAUAUUACUAAUAAACCA
Long non-coding RNA from Nerophis lumbriciformis (worm pipefish), 469 nucleotides. RefSeq lists it as uncharacterized. The record is from RefSeq and is a predicted model, not a curated record. Lineage: Eukaryota; Metazoa; Chordata; Actinopteri; Syngnathiformes; Syngnathidae.